Molecule: ribosomal RNA, 433 nt
Filed under: uncultured bacterium
Lineage: Bacteria
Description: partial 16S ribosomal RNA
Rfam family: Bacterial small subunit ribosomal RNA
Source: RNAcentral
AACGAACGCUGGCGGCAUGCCUAACACAUGCAAGUCGAACGAGACCUUCGGGUCUAGUGGCGCACGGGUUCGUAACGCGUGGUAACCUGCCCUUAGGUUCGGAAUAACUCCCCGAAAGGGGUGCUAAUACCGGUUAAUGUCUUCUGACCAAAGAUUUAUCGCCUUUGGAUGGGCCCGCGUUGGAUUAGAUAGUUGGUAGGGUAAAAGCCUACCAAGGCGACGAUCCAUAGCUGGUCUGAGAGGAUGAUCAGCCACACUGGGACUGAGAAACGGCCCAGACUACUACGGGAGGCAGGAGUGGGGAAUAGAGGAAAAUGGGCGAAAGCAUGAUACAGCAAUGACGCGUGAGUGAUGAAGGCAUGAGGGUAGUAAAGCUCUUUUACACGGGAUGAUAAUGACAGUAACGGGAGAAUAAGCACCGGCUAACUACGUG